RNAcentral lists this long non-coding RNA (1951 nucleotides) under Helianthus annuus (common sunflower). RNAcentral describes it as "hypothetical non coding rna". Lineage: Eukaryota; Viridiplantae; Streptophyta; Magnoliopsida; Asterales; Asteraceae. The record is from RNAcentral.
UUUCCUUUCACCUGGAGCAAGAGAAGGAGAAAGGAAAACCCCUUCUUUCAUGAAAUUAAGAAAUUGGAAAGGAAAUCUUGGUCAAACUCAAUGCAUGAACACAUAAUACCAAUUAUCUAAGCUAGCCUAACAAGUGGUAAGUUACAAUUUUCAAUUUGGUUGAUCUUGAGAUGAUGAGUAUGUAUGAAAUUGAAAAAUUUCUUAAGUAUGUUAGUAACAUAUUGUUAAUUGUUGGAGAAUACAUGAUUAGAAACCAUUGUGAGUGCCAAUUUGAGUGAAAAGAUAUACUUAUAUGUUUUGAUAGGAAACCUUCAUAAAUCAUGAAGUGAGUUUUAAGAAUGGAUAAUAAAAUAGAUGAUUUUAGUUAGGACUAUGAUGUUAACUUGUCAAUUAGAUGAAUGUUGUGUUAAUGAUUAUUCGUUGUGAUUAAUUGAUUAAUUGGGAAUUUAUGCAAGAAUAGGAAAUAAUGUUGGUAUGUAAGAACAUGAAAAACAACAAUUUUUAAACAACAAUGAUUGUCGCACACCAAGUGUUCGACGAAAUGCAUUAGAUGAUAAUUGUGUGAAUAGGUGAUAUCUACUAGUGAAAUUCAUGAUAGAAUGCAAGUAUGCGCUGUAUAUGGUGAGACGGAUUCAUGAGAACUUAAAGAAAAAUGAAGUGUAAAUGUAGGUGUGAAGAAAGAAGGUUCAAGCAACAAGAAGCCUUAAGGUUUGCAAGAUUGAGUUAUAACACGAGGAAAUAGAAAUGUGGGUACUAGUUUUUGUCAAGUAGUUGAUCCGAUACAAACGGGUCAACAAACUAGAAUGAAAUAUUUAAUAUGGUCAACUAGUUGAUCUAGUAUGAGCGGGUCAACGAACUAGAAUGAAAUGUUUAAUAUGGUCAUACAGUUGAUCCGGUACGAACGGGUCAACGAACUAGAAUGAAAUAUUUAAUAUGGUCAAGGAGUUGAUCUGGUACGAACGGGUCAAUGAAUUAGAAUGAAAUGUUUAAUAUGGUCACACAGUUGAUCUAGUACGAAUGGGUCAACGAAUUAGAAUGAAAUGUUUAAUAUGGUCAAGUAGUUGAUCUGGUACGAAUGAGUCAACGAACUAGAAUGAAAUGUUUAAUAUGGUCAUAAAGUUGAUCCGGUACGAACGGGUCAACGAACUAGAUUGAAAUGUUUAAUAUGGUCAAGUAGUUGAUCCGGUACGAAUGAGUCAACAAACUAGAAUGAAAUGUUUAAUAUGGUCAUAAAGUUGAUCCGGUACGAACGGGUCAACGAACUAGAAUGAAAUGUUUAAUAUGGUCAUAAGUUGAUCUUGUACGGAUGGGUCAACGAACUAGAAUGAAAUGUUUAAUAUGGUCAUACAGUUGAUCCGGUUCGAACAGGUCAACGAAUUAGAAUGAAAUGGUUAUAGUGGUCAUAUAGUUGAUCCAGUAUGAACGGGUCAACAGACUAGAAUAAAACAUGUAAAGAAUGGUUAAGUAUUUUAUCCGUUGCAAAUGGUUAAACGUUUACAGAUUGACUAUUAUAUGAAUGAUUAUAAGGUUGAAACAAAGUGAACGAGCAAGUUAAGCUAAUGUAAUUGAAGGGGAUAUGAAAAUGUAGAUAAUAUGAGAACAAGAAAAGUUGUGGAAUCAUAUUUGAUGGAAGUUUGAAUUCUAUGAUAGAUGUUUUAUAUCAGUUUAGUGACGAAUUGUUGUUAUAAGUAAAUCUUUGCUUUAGGUAGGAUUGUUAGCUCGUACGAACACACAUUCCACUUUGCCCUCAACGCGCUUCCGAAGUUAGCUUACGCAAACGGGUCAAAACAAUUUGGUUAUUAUGUAAUUAAAGUUUAGUUACUAAACUAUAUCAAGACUUGGUGUUUUAUAAUUUUAUAAAGUGAUGGAAGGUUUGUAACAAGUGGUUAAAUGAAUGUCUUGUAACUUUUGUUUAAAUUUUCAAGUAAUGCACAAAGUUUAAUAUUGGUCG